RNAcentral lists this small RNA (28 nucleotides) under Bombyx mori (domestic silkworm). RNAcentral's name for it is "ovarian small RNA-27243". Lineage: Eukaryota; Metazoa; Arthropoda; Insecta; Lepidoptera; Bombycidae. The record is from RNAcentral.
UCCCCUAGAACAAAUAUUUAUACAAUAC